AGUCGCUAGGGGAGCGUUUGCUGAGAUUGGAUAUGGACGGAAUUUUCGCUCCAUAUACUAACCCUCAUUACCUGAACCGGAUAAUACCGGCGUAGGGAAGCAGAUUUU
Molecule: non-coding RNA, 108 nt
Filed under: pig gut metagenome
Source: RNAcentral